RNAcentral lists this ribosomal RNA (450 nucleotides) under uncultured bacterium. Its description in RNAcentral is "bacterial SSU rRNA". It matches the Rfam family "Bacterial small subunit ribosomal RNA", at positions 355 to 796 of the family's 1533-position model. The record is from RNAcentral.
UAGGGAAUAUUGCGCAAUGGAGGAAACUCUGACGCAGCGACGCCGCGUGGGUGACGAAGGCUUUCGGGUCGUAAAGCCCUGUCGGAAGGGAAGAAAGACGGAAUGGCUAAUAUCCAUACCGCUUGACGGUACCUUCAAAGGAAGCACCGGCUAACUACGUGCCAGCAGCCGCGGUAAUACGUAGGGUGCGAGCGUUGUUCGGAAUCAUUGGGCGUAAAGCGCGUGUAGGUGGCGAGUUAAGUCGGGUGUGAAAUCCCUGGGCUCAACCGAGGAAGUGCACUCGAAACUAGCUAGCUGGAGGAUGGUAGAGGAAGGUGGAAUUCCAAGUGUAGAGGUGAAAUUCGUAGAUAUUUGGAGGAAUACCGGCGGCGAAGGCGGCCUUCUGGGCCAUUCCUGACACUGAGACGCGAAAGCGUGGGGAGCAAACAGGAUUAGAUACCCCCGUAGUCC